AUAAGAUUCACCGAACAACAUUGCAAAGUUGGGUUUCUGCAGUUAGUGAUUUUGAUUCAACUCUAAGCUAGCAGCAACCCAUUUUUCAUCGCUGCAAGGCAAAACAGAAGCACCACUUGGAAGGUUCAUGUUUGCUUUUCGGGGGAAAAUGAAAAUCUUCUCGCUUGGCAAAAUACUGGUUCCAGCAUAUGUAUCAGAAUCAGCAGACUCAGCAACUGCAUCACUUGAAUCUGAAGCAACGAAUGGGGCAGCAGGACGAUGAUCCCUAAUAAGGGAAUAUGUGUUGGGUGCACUUGAACAUCUGUGUCUUUUUGCAUUUGUGUCUUCAUUUUGCAAACUUAGUUCUUCAAUUAUCAAUUUGGUCUUCUGCUGAACAACUAGUAGCGAAACAUCAGCAACAACACAUUUUGAACUGACUGGAAGGACCUGAAGAGGUUCAAAAGUUGACCACCUGUAACACAAAAGUAUGAAAUUGCA
This 477-nucleotide unclassified non-coding RNA is filed under the name Hevea brasiliensis (rubber tree). The record is from RNAcentral. Lineage: Eukaryota; Viridiplantae; Streptophyta; Magnoliopsida; Malpighiales; Euphorbiaceae.